AAUGACCUAAGUCACCCCUCUCUCUCAUUUCACACCCCACCCGGCCCUGUCAUAUACACACAACUCCUCCCCCUGGACCAAAGCCGCCGCCGCCCCUCUGCCGCCCCGUCGACGCCCCUCGCCAGCACCAAGGUUAGAUCAACUACUCCUCCGUUCGCGGACACGCCACACGGCCGGGAUCCAUUGAGAUUUGCUUUGUGUCAUGUAGACUCGAAAUUUAGUUGCAUUGAUUGCUUUGUGUAGAAAUUGUAGUGAUAAUCCGAUUGCUAUUGUGUAGAAUCCGAUAUUUACUUCUGUGUCUCCCUCAGUUGGCGGAUCUGAGAUAGUUUAGCAGAAAUUGAUAUAUUUGGUAGAAAUUGAUAGAAUGUGUUAUGUGUAGAAUUUAUUUACUUGUGUGUCUCCCUCUGUUGGCGGAUCUGAGCUAGUUUAGUAGAAAUUGAUAUAUUUAGUAGAAGUGGAUAGAUUGUGUUAUGUGUAGAAUUUAUUUACUUGUGUGUCUCCCUUCGUUGGUGGAUUGUUGAGCUUUUCUAUCGAUUGAUCCUCUAUAACCAACAUAUCUAGUUUGCUAUGCAAUUUGCUGUUGUAGGUCAUCACAUGCUAUCUAGUUUAAUUAGUUCUAUACAUUGCAAUAUUUGAACUACUUUACAUUGGUGUCAAUAUUCAGUGGUAUGAAAUUGCAUUUUAUCUUGAUCGUAUACGCGUUGUGUUUGUAGGUCAUGGCCACUUCUGGAGGCAACAACAAGUCCGUGUGUGAUGUGGACAUGGCCAACAAUGAAUUCCUAGACACUUAUGAGUAUGUCAUCAAGAGCGUGCAAGGGGAAAAUGACGAUCUAAGGUGGAGGUUAAAGAGCUACGCAAGGAGACAGUUCGGCUCGUUCAGGAGACUAAUCAGCUUAGGGACGAGAGGCAUAAGUUCGUCCAGGAUCGGGAUAAACUGAAGGAGGAGAGGAGACUCCUUAGGGAUGAGAGGAUUGACCUGAAGAUGAACAUAGAUCAUUUCAGAAGAAAAGAAGAGGUUGAUAGAAAGAAGCUUCAACAACUGGGCAUACCCCUUGGUGAAGAUUAGUUUUUUAAGUAGCUAGCUAGUUCAUCUUAUUAGUUGUUGAGAAUCAAGUAACUAGAGUACUUGAGUGAGCAACUUAAUUUUGUGAAGUUUAAUAUCAACUUGUUGAGUUCAUGAGCCUCUUAUGUAAUGAUUAUCUAUUAGUAAGUAGCUAGUGUUGAUGAGUAUAUUGUGUUAAGUAGUAUCUAUUAAGUAAGUAGCCAGUGUUGAUGAACAAUUUUUUAUUACCAAAAAACCAUUAGGGUGUUGGAC
This 1315-nucleotide long non-coding RNA is filed under the name Triticum aestivum (bread wheat). Its description in RNAcentral is "long non-coding RNA (TAES_LNC022677)". Lineage: Eukaryota; Viridiplantae; Streptophyta; Magnoliopsida; Poales; Poaceae. The record is from RNAcentral.